UACGUAGGUGGCGAGCGUUGUCCGGAAUUAUUGGGCGUAAAGCGCGCGCAGGUGGGAUCUUAAGUCCAUUUUGAAAGUUCGGAGCUCAACUCCGUGAGGGGAUGGAAACUGAGAUUCUUGAGUAUCGGAGAGGAAAGCGGAAUUCCCCGUGUAGCGGUGAAAUGCGUAGAUAUGGGGAGGAACACCAGUGGCGAAGGCGGCUUUCUGGACGAUGUCUGACACUGAGGCGCGAAAGCCAGGGGAGCAAACGGG
This 252-nucleotide ribosomal RNA is filed under the name uncultured bacterium. RNAcentral's name for it is "partial 16S ribosomal RNA". It matches the Rfam family "Bacterial small subunit ribosomal RNA", at positions 524 to 776 of the family's 1533-position model. The record is from RNAcentral.